GGAAAGCCUGAUCACAACUUGGUUCAGCUCGGUAGCUAGAAUCAUAUUUUGUACGCGGUCUAUCGUAGAAGCAAUUGAGUUAAGGAAUGAACAAAAUCAUGGCAUACAUAUGAUUCUUAUUCGUUUAUGCAUAGAACUGUCACAUUUACAAAAUCUGAUCAUAAUCAAAAUAAGUACCAGGGUUGACUACUGGCUGGGACAGGGAGAAAUCCUGUUCUAAUUUUAGUAUUUAAAACAUAAUAAAAUGUGAAAUGAACCUUAUUCUAUAGAGUCAAUAUGACAUGGAACAAACAACUUAGUGAAAACUUUAAAGAACAUUCAUGUUUCCUUUUGCUGAAAAUAUAUAUUCUGAUUGUUGUAGGACAAUUUAGACGCGCGCAGCCAAUGAGAUCAGUGUUUGGUUUUUGGCUUCUUCACAAUCAUCACAGUGCAAUGAGCAUGAUGAGCACAGUAGUCCUUACACUACCUAAUACCGCCCUGCAAUUANNN
RNAcentral lists this long non-coding RNA (489 nucleotides) under Trifolium pratense (red clover). RNAcentral describes it as "long non-coding RNA (TPRA_LNC002469)". Lineage: Eukaryota; Viridiplantae; Streptophyta; Magnoliopsida; Fabales; Fabaceae. The record is from RNAcentral.